Molecule: long non-coding RNA, 3065 nt
Organism: Taeniopygia guttata (zebra finch)
Lineage: Eukaryota; Metazoa; Chordata; Aves; Passeriformes; Estrildidae
Source: Ensembl
CGCUGGCGGCGGGGGGCGGCGGCGGCCGGAGCGGGCCGGGGCUCCCGCCGCCGGGGCGGGCGCGCUCGGGCGGCGGGAGCAGGCGGAGCGCCGCCGGGAGCGCACACCGGCGCCCUGCAGGACCGACUGGAAUGGGGCCUGAAUGGCGCCAAGAUGGGAGAGACCCCGAGCUGGGUCACGGGCGCUGCUGCCUCGGCCGAGAGGCCGGGCGGUGCUCGAGCAGGAGCGUCUGUCGUGGGUGCUCGUGCCGGUGCCUUCAUCCUCUGCCGGGGCUGCACGGACCGCCCCGCGCAUCCUUCCGCUGAAGGGAGCCAGAGCUGGGAACUGGCUCCGUCCUUCUGCACAGCCACAGCAGGAGUUUUCCCAGAAGUAGCCAGAAAGCUCCGGUAUUGCGGUGAGCUCCCAAUGCAAGAGCAGGGCUGCCGAGCUGCCACUGCAGCGUAAAAUGCUAAAUCACGGCUCUGAGUAGUGGCCAUGACUGAUCCCUUGGCACCCUCGCCCGCGGGCAGCCUGCGGAGCCCAGGGGAGGCAAGACUGGGCUGUGGUAGAGCAAACUGCACAAGCGCCCGAACCUCCCCCCAUCCCGCCCCGGUGCAACUCCCGGCCCGUUCGCGGGUGCCGUGAGCCCGGUGGCAGCCGGUGCGCCCCUGGAGAAAGGCAGGAGCCGUGCUUGCUGAAGCACUAAUCGCCUUUUUAGGGGUCUCAGCAGCCCCUCCGGCCCCACCGCGCGGUACCAGCAUCUCCUGUUGGACCGCCCCUGCUCCCGAGCCGGGGUUUGGCGGCAGGACGGUGCUGUCCCGCCCGCAGACCCGCUGGCCGCAGUGUACACGAGAUGGCGUGCCCUGGAAAUGACCGCGCCGGAGCCUCGCUACCUCCCUGAGCAGGGCCAGACAGCCCUUGCCAGGGUAGGACGGUCGGACUCACUCCGCUGGAAGCAUCGCCCAGCCGGAGGAAGUAGAGAGCAUCAGGAGAAAGGGAGAAACGGCACCUCUGGUUCGAGGGGGUUUCCAGAAGUGGAAGAAAGAUGUGAAGCCUUCAUGCAAGACCAGAAUUCCUCCCACCUGCUCAACACACUCUCUCAAGCCACUUCGCUGUGUCACACCAAAUUCCCAGGUCCUUUCCUGCCAGAACUGGAUGCACUUCCUGACAGAAGUAUGCUACUGCAUCUUUGCUUGCCUAUGCAAAGGAAUGGCAGGAUUUACUGUGAAACGAGGUGCAGGCAUGGCCUGACCACGGCAAAGCAGAUGGCAGAUGGCACUGCAGGAGCCACCACUGCUAACAACAGUUGCAGAGGGGCAGAUGGAGCAUGGGAGAUGCUGAAAAGGAAAACCAGUAGCAGGAGGUGGGAGAAGACAAGUAAACCAACAUGGAAAGCUGGCUAGAAACAGUUUGUUUGUUAGGAACAAGAUGGAAAAUUGCAUUGCAAGGAAAUAAACCACAUCUGAGCCGGAUGCCUGCAUCUCAGAAAAGCAACAAGGAGGAUGAUAGCUCCCAAAAGGAAACAGUGGUUGAUCUCUUUGCAGGGAAUGUGACAGAGGAGGGCAAAGGAAAGGCAACACUGAGCCAGAGUGCUGCUGCUCUUUUCUGACAGUUCACCUCCAGCUUCUGAGCCCAUCCACUUUGCUCUUUCACAAAAGAGACCUGGCAAAUGCUCAUUGUGCAGGAAGCUUCAGAGAGGUGAGGUUGCAGUGCCUUGGCAAGUGUGUCAGGAUGGAGACUCUCUACUUUUUUUAUUUUGUGGGUGAACAGCCCUGUGCAACCCUGAAGGGCAAUGGCAAAAUGCUUUGCUGGCUGAUGAGGUAGGAAAAGGGAAAAUAUGUCACUGCUUCAGAAGGAUCUAAAACCAGAGCUCCCCUUCAGCUUCCUUCCCCUCUCCAGGUGCCAGUGCCUGCAUAGAAGACAAGGGCAGUGGUGACUGGAAGACAUCUCCAGCAGAAUCCAGGGGAUAAGCAGCACCAAACCAAAAUCAUCAAGCAUAUAUCUCAUUUUGAAAAAAUUCGAAAAUAUUUUUUCCAUUUAGGAUUUAGCCCUCUUUACUUCAAAGCCAGAAGAGGGGACUCAAAACCAGCAUCAUGCUCCAAGUACUGCUAAUAUAAUGAUCCCUAGCAGCUGCCAUGCAGGAUUCUCCACUUGUAUUUGUUUUGCUUCUUUUGUGACAUUUAAUCAAAGUCUUGCUAUCCUAAAUAUUAAUUAAAGUGCUUGGAGACAAGGCCUAAAUUUCAUUUUGCCUCCCAAGUUCACCAGCUUCAUCCUCCUCCUCCUCCUCCUCCUCCUCCUCCAAAUAUGUUUUGCUAUAAAUUACUGGCACUGUUUCUGUUGAUAGUCAACAUAAUCAAACAUUUGUAAGCAUGCUGUCUCUUCAAUCUGUUCAGUUGAUGCACUUUACCUGAUCUUUCAUUAAAGUAAUCAAAACACUUGCUGUGCCACGUCUAAUGAAUGUUGCAUGUAUGAUUAAGUACUUUCAUUCAUAUUGCAAGUUUGAUUUAAUGUAAUCUGCCUUUCAGACAGCCAUUAGCCUAGCUCCUGCGUGAAUUCGAUUAAUUGGCUGAAUUCUUCCAGAUGUCCUUUAAGUAUUACAGGAAUUUCUAUGUAAAAACAGCAGGGACCAUCUAACAGAGAAGCAAACAAUGAUACGUUAUAUUGCUGCCAUGACUUACAAAAAGCUGGAUUCAUUUUCAUUAAUAAAACAUCUGUACUGCUGCACAGCUAUGCAUCAAGAUGCAUUUAUUUUAUAUGUUUAUUUCUCUUAUGACUAUAAAUAGACAGUUAAACAGAAGCACGGUAUGUUCAGUUGGAAGAUACACAAACAACUGUAAUAUCAGAGUUAGGACUUACAAAACAAGUAUCAUGUGUUGUAGCAAACAUGGCAGCAGCUUCUAUUGAUAUCUUAGGAUAAAGGCAUUUUUCUUAGAGCAUGAUGAAUUUGAAAGCAAUUGGUUCCUGGGUUGAAAUAUCCUAUGGCUUAUGUUUAUAUGGCUCAUUGUACCUUUAAGUGGGAGGAAAAAAUGCAGUUUGGCAUUUUUAAAUAGUAUGCAGUAAAGAGAAAAAGCAUUAUUAAAAUAAAC